UUAAGUUAUCUAGCAAAUGUAGAUACAUCCAUGAAGUAAUCUUUCAUAAUUUUUUGUAGGACUUUUCAACUGCUCCACCUAUUUUCUGGCUGCUGGUGCUGUUAGUUUGGGAAUUGGUCUCUGUGCCUUGGCAUCAGCUUUGUGGUUCCUGAUUUGUAAACGAAGAAAAAUAUUUCAAAAUUCUACAUUUAAAUCAACUGAUGAGAGACUCGGGCAAAGACCAUCAAAGAUGAAGGUUAAACCCCAUUCUCAGAGUGUUUUCAUUUCUCAAAAUUUUCAUACUGGAAGGUUCCAAUUACAGGGAGAGCAAAGAAAAAAUGAAGAAGCUCGUAUAAAAGCGAUUAAAGAUGAAUUCUGCCGUGCAACUAAAAAGGUAAUCUGUGACCUCCUAGAGAUUAACUCCACGACAAAUGGCAGCAGCAUUUCGUUAAACUUACCAACAUCACCAUCAGAUUCUCACUACAGCCAAAGUAUACAAGCAGCUGAUGAAUGGUUCUCUGAUGAUUCUCAAGCAGAAAAUAAUUCUUCAAAGCCUUUCCUUGGGGAACCCCUAGUGGAAAAAGUAUUUUCAUACCUGUCAACCAUUCCAUCAAAAGAAUACUUAAAAUGUAAUGAGCAUGACAAUUUUUGAUGAUUAAAAUAAUGACAUUAAGGAAAUGUUCUCAUGAAGAAACACUCAAGUUGAAAUACAAAACCUUCGGCGUAACACUGAAUGACUUUUUUUCUUUUGAAUCCUUGUAUACCCUGAAAUCAGGUAAUGUUAAAACUGAAUCACCAGCUUCUGACUCUCCUAACAUGCCGGUGCUAAUGUUUCCUUUCUUGUGCUUUGUCAUAGAGUGGGCCUGCUUCCCGUGCUGGCUCUUAUUUCUAGAAAUAAAACUAUGGGAAGAAUUAUGGUAGUAUCAUGGAUAGUAAGUUUAACUCCUUGUACCUUACAAAAGAUAGAUAAUAUGAUUGUAUUUUCAAUAUGCAGGAGAAAUACUUCAAGAAAUCUUUAUGAAUAUACUUUAAUAAAACAUCUGCUGCAUUUUGUUAUACUUUGGACAUAUCAAUUUCAUUUCAGCGUGAGUAGAUGUGGGUAGAAUACCUAUCAGCUUUUCUGAAUUUAAAAAACACAAGUCACCUAUCUUUCAAACCUUAUCAUGUCAUGAGUUUGGUAAUCAAGAUAAAUUUGCUCUUAAGUAAUUUCCUUUCUCUGUUUCUCAGAAAGCCCCCCCAACCCUCACCCCUCUUGAUAAAAAUGACUCCUACUCACCUGAAUCAAGUGAGGUGAGUUAGAGUUCCUUUCUAGUAUGAGAGGCCUGUGUGCAAAAAUGUAUGGUUAUGAGGGAUUUCUGAACCUAUCAUGUAAUCUUGUUUUUUUUCUUUCCUAAAUACUCUCCAUGUAAUCAAUCUUUUUGUUGUUGUUGUUGUUUUGUUUUGUUUUGUUUUGAGACAGAGUCUCACUAUGUAGUUGAGACUGACCUGGAACUCGCUAUGUAGCCCAGGCUGGUCUCUAUCUCUCAGCGAUCCUCCUGCCUUAGCCUCCUGAGAGCUGGGAUUACAGGCAUGUGCUACCACGCCUGGCUAAGCAAUCUUUUUAAUUUGCUUUCUCUUAGGAAAAAAAAUGAUUAAUAUUAAGUAUAAUACUACCUUUUACACUUAAAUAAGACCUACUUAUACCUUCCCAAGGGAUAAAUCGUACCUGUUACAAUAAAUGCAGAAAAAAAAUUGUCUCAAAGGAGAUAAUAAAUAGCAUCAUGCAAGUCUACCAUUUCUGACCCAGGAAAUAGUAAAGGAGUUGGAAGACCUUUCUCUUUUGAUGCACUUGUCCAUUUCCUCACAGUGUGUGGUGGAUUCUGAGCAUAUCUCUCCUGUCCACCCACAGAUCUCUGUAAGCUGUUUCACAAGGAGCGGUAAGAACAAGACCUUCAGCUGGUCUCGUGCUCUUAGUGUUCUGAAACUUAUGCCUUCUUGGUAUCGUAGGAAAGGGAGUUAUAGCUGAAGAUGGUAAAGUCCUAAGACUUCUCUGGGGUUGGAAAUAAGAGAUUCUAGCUUCUGUCUGACCAGACUCUGGAAUAGAAGAACCUGGGAGCUGUGAGUUGCCAUGUCCUACCAUGCAAUUUAGGAAGCAAAAGCAGCAAAUCUGCAAAAGGAGAAUAAUGAAACAUUUGCGAAUUGGAAAGGAGAGAUGAGAGCUCAGGAGAAUAUGGUUCUGCGCUUUCUAACAGUGUUCCAUCCCCUGCUUUAACACUUCGUAAAGCCUGGCCAUGACCCCUGCCCUUGGCUUGAUAGGGUAUCCUGUGUCCUAAUUGUAAAACUCCUUUUCUCUCUUAAGCUCACAAGAUGUGAUUUCUGUUAUUGGCUACCACCCCCAAGG
This is a long non-coding RNA of Fukomys damarensis (Damara mole-rat), 2359 nucleotides long. NCBI's taxonomy places the organism in Eukaryota, Metazoa, Chordata, Mammalia, Rodentia, Bathyergidae. The record is from Ensembl.